RNAcentral lists this ribosomal RNA (418 nucleotides) under Anaplasma ovis. RNAcentral describes it as "bacterial SSU rRNA". It matches the Rfam family "Bacterial small subunit ribosomal RNA", at positions 57 to 503 of the family's 1533-position model. The record is from RNAcentral. Lineage: Bacteria; Pseudomonadati; Pseudomonadota; Alphaproteobacteria; Rickettsiales; Anaplasmataceae.
GCAAGUCGAACGGAUUGUUCACGCAGCUUGCUGUGUGUAUGGUUAGUGGCAGACGGGUGAGUAAUGCAUAGGAAUCUGCCUAGUAGUAUAGGAUAGCCACUAGAAAUGGUGGGUAAUACUGUAUAAUCCCUGCGGGGGAAAGAUUUAUCGCUACUAGAUGAGCCUAUGUCAGAUUAGCUAGUUGGUGGGGUAAUGGCCCACCAAGGCUGUGAUCUGUAGCUGGUCUGAGAGGAUGAUCAGCCACACUGGAACUGAGACACGGUCCAGACUCCUACGGGAGGCAGCAGUGGGGAAUAUUGGACAAUGGGCGCAAGCCUGAUCCAGCUAUGCCGCGUGAGUGAGGAAGGCCUUAGGGUUGUAAAACUCUUUCAGUAGGGAAGAUAAUGACGGUACCUACAGAAGAAGUCCCGGCAAACUC